This 121-nucleotide ribosomal RNA is filed under the name Klebsiella pneumoniae. Its description in RNAcentral is "partial 23S ribosomal RNA". It matches the Rfam family "Bacterial large subunit ribosomal RNA", at positions 1 to 111 of the family's 2925-position model. Lineage: Bacteria; Pseudomonadati; Pseudomonadota; Gammaproteobacteria; Enterobacterales; Enterobacteriaceae. The record is from RNAcentral. RNAcentral also lists the same sequence under 1 other name.
GGGUUGUGAGGUUAAGCGACUAAGCGUACACGGUGGAUGCCCUGGCAGUCAGAGGCGAUGAAGGACGUGCUAAUCUGCGAAAAGCGUCGGUAAGGUGAUAUGAACCGUUAUAGCCGGCGAU